GAAAAAAAUCUACGACGGUUAACCUAUGAAAAAAACCCGGACGGAAGUGGUGGGACGAAAAAAAACCUGAAAGCGAGACUACCAACUGCUCCAUUAGAAGUAGAGAUUAAUUUAGAGUUUUCCUCUUAUAUGAACAAGUAACUGCACAUCUGAUUUUCUUAUGCUGUAAAACACCAUCGAAGCGACCACGAUACUCGCUUGAAAUAGGUCAUCAUAAACAUUGUUUAACAUUGUUAGGGUACGUUCAAAUUUCAAAGUCUAAAAAGAAAUAUUCAGUGUAACCUUAUUUCUGACGUUUCAAAUAAUUAGAUUAAAAACUGUUGCAUAAUGGCACUAGAGCAGGUUAUAUUUAUUUUUUCUCUCAAUGCAACGCACAUGCAUUUCUACUAGUACCCAACUAAAACGCCCUCGUUCUCCGAGCCUCCCGCAGUCUCCUGAGUCCUGAUCCUCUUCCAAAAAUAAACCCACCCUCGUUCUCCAAAACGGAUCGAAGGUCCAUCGUCGCCUGCUUCCGCUCCGAUGGGUGCCAGGCGUCCGUUUGCUUCCACUCUGACGGGUGCCCCAGGCGUUCCUCUGCUUCCUCUGGGAUGGCGGAUCAGUCGGCAUGCAACGUUCACAGUGGGGCGCCAAGAAUUAGAUGGACAAGUCAUCUGUGAAGCAGCAGGUAGAAGGCUACCUGGCAGUGCCUCCAGGGAUUCGCUGUACAAUACAUGUCACCACAGCUAUGUCGAUGAAGACUCAAAGUGAUGCUUUCAUUAUAUCACUUGCCAAGUUUACAUCACUUCACUCUGCUGCCAAGGUUGAAACCCCACUCUGUAGUUUCUCUUCAGAUCUUGCAGUAGCAAAGCAAGGGAAUGUGAUGCAAGACUGGAGAGUGGCAAAGUGGCAGAUGACAUCUAUGUGGAGGGUGAUGAUGAUCCAUGUGGCAAUGAGCAAUAUGAUAACUAGGGCGAUGACGGUGAUAAACUCGACGUUCUCUUCAAGUAAUGCAACAAAGAGAAGUUCUAAAGUUUGUGGAAAAUUUAGCUUAUGUAAAAUCUUUGUACAAGUUACUACUUUGUUUUGUAUUUGACAAUUUUAAGAUGGAUCAUAAUGGUCAAUGUAAUUUGGAUGCAACUAAUUAGGCCUAUGAUACUUUCCGAGGUUAUCCUAAAUAAAUAUAUAUUAUGGUCUUUUGUGA
This is a long non-coding RNA of Triticum dicoccoides, 1180 nucleotides long. RefSeq lists it as uncharacterized. The record is from RefSeq and is a predicted model, not a curated record. The transcript is spliced from 4 exons. Lineage: Eukaryota; Viridiplantae; Streptophyta; Magnoliopsida; Poales; Poaceae.